AAGGCUUUAAGUUAAUUAAACUAUUAUCCUUCAAAGUUAAAAAUACAGUUCUGUUGUAAGCCUUA
Molecule: transfer RNA, 65 nt
Filed under: Tettigades major
Lineage: Eukaryota; Metazoa; Arthropoda; Insecta; Hemiptera; Cicadidae
Description: tRNA-Trp
Source: RNAcentral